Molecule: long non-coding RNA, 1354 nt
Organism: Haplochromis burtoni (Burton's mouthbrooder)
Lineage: Eukaryota; Metazoa; Chordata; Actinopteri; Cichliformes; Cichlidae
Exons: 3
Source: RefSeq, a predicted model, not a curated record
AAUAUUUAUACUGGAAAAGAGAAUCGUGAGAGAAUCGUGAUCUCAAUUCUAAGCCAAAAAAUCGUGAUUCUCAUUUUAUGCAAAAUCGUGCAGCCCUACUCAGCAGCAGGUCAGAAUCACACAGAACAACAUUUAGACAUUUCCUCCAACAGCACGUGAUCAGAUGAUCACAAGUUCAGUCUGAGAUUCACAGCCGGGGUUCUUUCACUGCUCUCAGGAAAAAGCUUCACGAAUCGGAGGAAACUCUGAACAUUACCUCCUCCUGACCAGGUGCAGGUUAUGACCAGGCAGCCAGAUGUUCAGAGUCCAGCUGUGGGUGUCGGUGAAGGUUCAGACGUGUCAGCAGAGAGCUCUGUGAUGGAUCGAAACCUGUACAGGUGUACCCAUCUCUCACCCUAUGAGACCUGUGAUAGGCUCCGCCCACACCAUGACCCUGGACUGUAAUGAAAAUGAACAGACUCUGCUCACCCAGCAGGACAGGAUGCCAUCCCAUAAUAACCACCAGCCUGCUGACAUGCUUGAAGCUUCAGCGUCUGUGAAGCCAAAAUAAAUCCCUCUGUAUGAAAAUGUGAUCCUUAAACAAACUGAUCAGAGAUCACAGAUUUAUUCACGUCACUUUUAUUUACAUCACAACCACAGGCUGAAUCGUAUCCAUCCACUGGAUCCUGAUCACUGAUUCAUUGAUCUCAUUCAAUGAUUUUAAUGACAGCUUCACCUGUAAACGAUGAAUCAAAUCUACAGUAUGACAGAGUGGAGUACGCAGGAAGCAACAGAACACAGAAACAGCAGCGGUUUUAGAUACGGCGACACGGGCGGUUUGCCCGGGGCGGCAUCACGGGCAUCGGCAAAAAAAGAAAAAAUGCUCCGAUAGAAAAAAGCUAUGAUACCGGACACAGCUACUUCUUCUUCUUCGGGGUUUAACGGCAGCUGGCAUCCUUGUACAUGCAGUGCUGCCAUCUUCUGUUUCAGUCCGUUAUUACACUCUUAAAUCCUGCUACUUAUUCCUUUAUCCUACUACUAGCUCCCAAAAGAUUAGAUCUUUUGUGAUCUUACAAAGCUUCAAACGACGCGUCGACUAUUAAAUCAGUCGUCGACGAUUUUGAUAGUCGACUAAUCGUGACUAGUCGUGGCAGCCCUAGUAUGCACGCUGUCCUCAACAGCCAUACUGAAACUGUCACAGUUCCAACGUCAGUAGGAAACACAGCCAGAUAAACUUUUCAGGACAAACGAGACACAAAAGGAAUUUUACUGGAAAGCAAAGAUUGUUUCAGGACCUACAAGUUUAAAAGAUUAAACCAGCAGCUCCAGGGAAGGUGACACAGAUGCCUGUGAGAAGAACACCACUAAACCACUU